UUCACAAAAAAUUAUAGUUAAACAAAUGAGUGAGAGGAGAGGUUAGAGCAUAAAAAAAUAGAGAGAGAGUGAGUGACGUACCAUAACAAUAGGCGAGUUCUAUAUAUGUAUUAAAGGAGAAAUCGCUUCUUCUUGAUGAGAUAAGUCGUUUCUUUCUCUUUUUAUUUAUUCCUUUUAGUUUUUUGGUGUCCUUAGACUAUUUAUAAUUGAAAGAUUAACUCUUAAAUUAAUGCUGCAAGUUCCAGAACUUAGAACCGUAGCUGCUGCACGUGAACAAAGACUCUGUUCAGGUAGGCGUCUGAUUUUUAUUCCAAUUCCUUUCCUGUUUUGUUUUUUUUUUUAUAAAUUUGUAAUCAAUCUUUAAAAUGUGUUAGAAAUGUUAGAAUUUAUUUUCAAAUAAAAAAAUAAAUCACAAAUUCAAAUCUAACUCAAAAAACAUCACUCAACUUUAUAUGCACAAUCACACUAAAUUGCAGAAAAAAUCUUCAAAAUUUCAACAAUUCUUUUGUGUGAUUUAACUUCUGUCUCAUGCAUUUAUCAAGUAAGAUGGGUGAUAUUUUAAAUUAUACAAAAAUGACCUUCAUGGAUUAAUUUGCAUAUGGUAAACUCUUUUAAAAAUCAAAACUAAAUGAUGUUUUAAAUAGAGAGAGUAAGUAUUAUUUACAUUUUUGUGCUGAUUUUUAUUUAUUGAUUUUAUGAGUUUUAACCAUUAAUUGUUAUAUUGAUUUAGUAACAAUUAAAAGAUGAAUAAUUAUUAGCAAAACUAAAAAAAAAAAGACAAAAAACAUAAGCUCCUCAUGAAUAAUUUAUUUUUAUUUUAAUACCACCAGCUCAAUUACCUUACCCAAUUUUCAUCUCAUAAUACACUUAUCGAUUUUACAAUUUAACUUUUACAAAUUUCUAUUUUUUCCCCAUUUUUAUUAAAUUUUCUUUCUUGGUUCUUCCCAAAGAUCUCAACAUCUCCAACUGUCCAGCCAAUGGAAAAGUUCCCAUGCUGGGCCCUUGCCCUAGUGGGCUUUCGUGAAGGCUCCUCGGUAUGAUUUCAUGUCGGUCGAACCAGCACGGUCAACUAGCCUAUUGCACAAGCAAUUGCCCCAAGGAAAACAGACUCUGUGUAAUGGCACACUGCCAGUUUUCCAUCUUUGGCAUUCACAGAUGCCCGGAUCAUCUCUGCACCCUCUGACUUGGCAUAUGCAUUUCUACACCAUGCCAGAGAAGUCCUAGGCCCCAAAAAAUGUUCCUUCUGUGAACUAGUACUGCAGAACAGCACUGCAUAACCACAAGGCACUUUGGUGUCCGAAAUUCUGAUAAAAAACAUAUCAACUUCUAUUUUUUGUCCAUUUCUUCUUAGUUUUACUAAUAAUUAUUCAUCAUUUAAU
Molecule: long non-coding RNA, 1379 nt
Filed under: Carica papaya (papaya)
Lineage: Eukaryota; Viridiplantae; Streptophyta; Magnoliopsida; Brassicales; Caricaceae
Description: long non-coding RNA (CPAP_LNC001506)
Source: RNAcentral